Molecule: non-coding RNA, 7091 nt
Organism: Pelobates cultripes (western spadefoot toad)
Lineage: Eukaryota; Metazoa; Chordata; Amphibia; Anura; Pelobatidae
Source: the annotation of a GenBank genome assembly
AAGUCCAACAUCUGGAACUAGUCUGACAUAUACAGCAGGUCCAACAUCUGGAACUAGUCUGACAUCUACAGAAGGUCCAACAUCUGGGACUAGUCUGACAUCUACAGCAGGUCCAACAUCUGGAACUAGUCUGACAUCUACAGAAGGUUCAACAUCCGGAACUAAUCUAACAUCUACAGCAAGUCCAACAUCUGGAACUAGUCUGACAUAUACAGCAGGUCCAACAUCUGGAACUAGUCUGACAUCUACAGAAGGUCCAACAUCUGGGACUAGUCUGACAUCUACAGCAAGUCCAACAUCUGGAACUAGUCUGGCAUCUACAGUAAGACCAACAUCUGGAACUAGUCUGGCAUCUACAGUAAGACCAACAUCUGGAACUAGUCUGACAUCUACAGCAGGUCUAACAUCUGGAGCUAGUCUGACAUCUACAGCAGGUCCAACAUCUGGAAUUAGUCUCACAUCUACAGCAGGUCCGACAUCCGGAACUAGUCUGACAUCUACAGAAGGUUCAACAUCCGGAACUCGUCUGACAUCUACAGCAGGUCCAACACCUGGAACUAGUCUGACAUCUACAGCAGGUCCAACACCUGAAACUAGUCUGACAUCUAAAGCAGGUCCAACAUCUGGAACUAGUCUGACAUCUACAGCAGGUCCAACAUCUGGAACUAAUCUGACCUCUACAGAAGGUCCAACAUCCGGAACUAAUCUGACAUCUACCAAAAGUCCAACAUCUGGAACUAGUCUGGCAUCUACAGUAAGACCAACAUCUGGAACUAAUCUGACAUCUACAGUAGGUCCGACAUCUGGAACUAGUCUGACAUCUACAGAAGGUCCAACAUCCGGAACUAGUCUGACAUCUACAGCAAGCCCAACAUCUGGAACUAGUCUGACAUCUACAGCAGGUCCAACACCUGGAACUAGUCUGACAUCUACAGCAGGUCCAACACCUGGAACUAGUCUGACAUCUACAGCAGGUCCAACAUCUGGAACUAAUCUGACAUCUACAGCAGGUCCAACAUCUGGAACUAGUCUGACAUCUACAGAAGGUCCAACAUCCGGAACUAAUCUGACAUCUACCAAAAGUCCAACAUCUGGAACUAGUCUGGCAUCUACAGUAAGACCAACAUCUGGAACUAAUCUGACAUCUACAGCAGGUCCAACAUCUGGAACUAGUCUGACAUCUACAGAAGGUUCAACAUCCGGAACUAAUCUAACAUCUACAGCAAGUCCAACAUCUGGAACUAGUCUGACAUAUACAGCAGGUCCAACAUCUGGAACUAGUCUGACAUCUACAGAAGGUCCAACAUCUGGGACUAGUCUGACAUCUACAGCAAGUCCAACAUCUGGAACUAGUCUGGCAUCUACAGUAAGACCAACAUCUGGAACUAGUCUGACAUCUACAGCAGGUCUAACAUCUGGAGCUAGUCUGACAUCUACAGCAGGUCCAACAUCUGGAAUUAGUCUCACAUCUACAGCAGGUCCGACAUCCGGAACUAGUCUGACAUCUACAGAAGGUUCAACAUCCGGAACUCGUCUGACAUCUACAGCAGGUCCAACACCUGGAACUAGUCUGACAUCUACAGCAGGUCCAACACCUGAAACUAGUCUGACAUCUAAAGCAGGUCCAACAUCUGGAACUAGUCUGACAUCUACAGCAGGUCCAACAUCUGGAACUAAUCUGACAUCUACAGAAGGUCCAACAUCCGGAACUAAUCUGACAUCUACCAAAAGUCCAACAUCUGGAACUAGUCUGGCAUCUACAGUAAGACCAACAUCUGGAACUAAUCUGACAUCUACAGUAGGUCCGACAUCUGGAACUAGUCUGACAUCUACAGAAGGUCCAACAUCCGGAACUAGUCUGACAUCUACAGCAAGCCCAACAUCUGGAACUAGUCUGACAUCUACAGCAGGUCCAACACCUGGAACUAGUCUGACAUCUACAGCAGGUCCAACAUCUGGAACUAGUCUGACAUCUACAGAAGGUCCAACAUCCGGAACUAAUCUGACAUCUACCAAAAGUCCAACAUCUGGAACUAGUCUGGCAUCUACAGUAAGACCAACAUCUGGAACUAAUCUGACAUCUACAGCAGGUCCAACAUCUGGAACUAGUCUGACAUCUACAGAAGGUCCAACAUCCGGAACUAAUCUGACAUCUACCAAAAGUCCAACAUCUGGACCUAGUCUGGCAUCUACAGUAGGUCCAACAUCUGGAAAUAGUCUGACAUCUACAGUAGGUCCAACAUCUGGAACUAGUCUGACAUCUACAGAAGGUCCAACAUCCGUAACUAGUCUGACAUCUACAGCAAGUCCAACAUCUGGAACUAGUCUGACAUCUACAGCAGGUCCGACAUCUGAAACUAGGCUUACAUCUACAGCAGGUCCAACAUCCGGAACUAGUCUGACAUCUAUAGCAGGUCCAACAUCUGGAACUAGUCUGACAUCUACAGCAGGUCCCACAUCUGGAACUAGUCUGACAUCUACAGCCGGUCCCACAUCUGGAACUAGUCUGACAUCUACAGCCAGUCCAACAUCCGGAACUAGUUUGACAUCUACAGCAGGUCCAACAUCUGAAACUAGUUUGACACCUACAGCAGGUCCAACAUCUGAAACUAGUCUGACAUCUACAGCAAGACCAACAUCUGGAACUAGUCUGACAUCUACAGGAAGCACAAGUCAUGUAACAAACACGGGUUUCACAGCCCCUAGUUCAACUAAUUCCACUUCAUCUUCUACAACAAAAGUAGAUGCAGCAUCUGUGGCAGGCAAGUCAUUUCUUAAUCAACUCAUAUACUCAUAGGCAUUGCUAGUGGGGGGUGUUGGUACCUGAAGUGCAAAGUGUGGGUCUUUGUAGUACCAGAUCUCUACAGUUUCAUAUAAUUGUAUCAAGCACCAAACCAGUUUAUGAACGAGGCCAAGCUGGGCUUCAAAUAUAAUUAAUAAGUGCUUGGUGAGAAGUAUCUAGUUGGUACUGUCCUCUCCUCACAGUAGAUGGACCGCAAUGUGUCUGUUCUAGAUGUUAUACAUGUUAUACACAUUAUACAGAUAUUAAGGUCUAACCAUAGUUCCGUUGUAGUGAAGUUUCAGUAAUCAGAGAUUCAUAUUGAUUACUGUUCCAUGAAUACCUUUAAUGUGUGAUUUUUUUUUUCCUGUAGAUAUUAGCAGUAACGUGGCAAGUGUGUCAGGAAGCAGCCCCCUAUCUGACUACAUAACUGCUAUCAUUGUACUGUUCAGUAUAAUUGUCCUCGCAAUCCCUAUAGUAAUUAUCCUGGUAAGUAAAAUUCUCAUACAUAAAACAGGAAUUAAAUAUUGAUAAAGAUAUAGUGAUAUAAACUAUCCCAUUGACUAGGGUUUCCCAAGCCCCUUGCCACCCACACAAAUAAAAAUACCCUUCCUGACCCCUGACCCUAAUAUUAAUGAGGCAGGCUUAAUUAAUCUAAAACUUGUAAUAAUAACGCAACACAAUAAUCCAACUUAGCUCUCUGAUCGCUCAGCGUACACUGAGCUUGCAUGGUGGGGAAAAGUCUUACACCUGGAUAAAAUAUCUUUGUUUCUUCAGCCCCAAAACAGGCCAAACAAAAUUCAACGCAAGUCUCGAAAAAAGGGAGACUUACAUGUCAGAGCUCUCUAAUUGGUUGGUUUACAACCCGAUCAUUCAAAACUCUCUGACUGGUAUUUUAUUGUUGGAAAGCCCUUAUAAAACUUUUCCCCGCCAUGCAAGCUCAGUCUACACAGAGCCCUCAGAUGGCUAAAUGGAUUAUUGUUAUUGCAUUGUGGUAUUUUUACACGUCUUAGAUUUAUUGCCCCCCUCAGUAUUAUUGAGGUACUUUAAGGUACUUUUAUUUGGGGUGGCGACUUGGGCACCCCUAGCUACCACAGGGGUGGAUAUUGUUGACAAUUUUGUGUGCAAUAUUGGGCACACACCUGCCACGUAUGGGUGGGAGCACAGGUGGGAUCUGUGCCAGAUCCUUCCUGUAUGUUACUAUCAACUGGAAGCAAUAGCUGCCAAGUUACUCGUCUAUUACAGUGAGCAACCAAUGGAGACAUGGACCUGUGUUUUGGUGGGUGGGGGCAUGAAGGCAGUUUAAAGCUUCCCCUUUACUAUUAUGUUAAACAAGUUUAGUCAUUAGUAAAGGUCGAGAAAGGUGCUUCCGAAGCACAUUUAUUGGAAUCUUUUCCAACAACCAACCUGUUUAUUGAGCUUGGCUGCUGGAAUUUCACAGUCAUUAAAUCCAGCUGAAAUUCGAGAAAAAAAAAAUCAUCUGAAAGCGGUCCGUAUUGAUCAAGGUUUUUACUCAUUAGAAUUAAAUUGAGGCCUAAACGCAUUCUUGAUAAAUCUGGAGUUCAUAUACAAGUCCUGCAGCUGAGGAUGACAUCAUUGGCAUCAUUAUUUCUGUCCUGUUUGUUCAUUUUAUAAACAGGCAAUCAAGAGUGGAAUCUUCAGCUGGCUGUUUGGCGCCGGCGCUGUGGGUGGAGCCAGUAGUUCAGCUGAAUCUGGUCUGAGAGGAGCAAGCGUUGGAGUCAGCAUACCAAAUUUUAGAGUAAGCGUAUGUAAAAAAUAAAGCUAUGUAGAUAAAAAAAAAUUGUAAUUCUUAUCUCUCCAGCCAUUCUCAGUACAGAUGUCUCUGAUCCAGACAUAUACUUCAUUUCAUUGCUUGCCCAUAGCAAUUUACCACCAACAACAACUUCUUACUUAGUAUCCAACGUAACAAAUGGUAUUAUCGAUAGUUCCAUCCUCAUAUAGAAUUCAUGAAAUGUGCACUAGGUGUUUGAAUGUAAGCAUGUUUUUGUUAUGUUUCAUGUUUUGAUUAUGUGUGUGCCUGUAGGGGUGUAUUUGUAUGUACUGUUGCCAUUGGAAUGCAGUAGUGUACUUAUGUGUAGUGUUUGCGUUUAAAUGCAGGGGUGUGUCUGUAUGUAGUGCUGGCUUUUAAGUGUAGGUGUACAUUUGUGUGUAGUGUUACAUGAAUGGAGGAGUGUUUGUAUAUAACUUUUGCAUUUUAAUACAGCGGUGUGUUUGUAUGUAAUGUUUGCAUUUGCAUGGAUGUCUUUGUAUGUUGUGUUGGUGUUUGAUUGUUGGGAUGUAUAUAUACACAAACAUACACUGCUACAUACAUACGUACACACACAGAUACACACAUAUAUACACACAUACACUGCCACAUACAUACGUACACACACAGAUACACACAUAUAUACACACAUACACUGCCACAUACAUACGUACACACACAGAUACACACAUAUAUACACACAUACACUGCCACAUACAUACGUACACACACAGAUACACACAUACACUGCUACAUACAUACGUACACUCACAGAUACACACAUAUAUACACACAUACACUGCUACAUACAUACGUACACACAGAUACACACAUAUAUACACAUACACUGCUACAUACAUACGUACACACACAGAUACACAAUUAUAAACACACAUACACUGCUAUAUACAUACGUACACACAGAUACACACAUAUAUACACACAUACACUGCUACAUACAUACGUACACACAAAGAUACACAUAUAUAAACACACAUACACUGCUACAUACAUACAUUCACACAUAGAUACACACAUAUAAACACACAUACACACAUUCCUCCCAGAUACAAGAACAGCCGUGCGGGAGGGAGAUGAGGCACAGGAGGAGUGGGAGGAGGCAACAGAAAAGGAGGGAGAGAAACAAGGAGAGACUCAGCUCCAGACCCACACUCCCAUCAUACUCAACCAGCAGCAGGACCCCAGGAAAGCCACCCUCCUGCACAGAAAGGAUAUGUUAAAAUUCUGGGAGGAAGUGACAGGCUAUUAGUUCCUCCCAUGCUGCUGAUUUGAAAGGGGCCUGAUCGUGCUAUUAUAGGGCCACUGCUCCUUACCGGGUCCCUUUUCAGCAACAAGCAUGGGGGGCCCUGAGUGCAUGGACCACGCGAUGGGCCCCCUCAGUGUGCGGACCUCGGUACUGACGCAGCGGCUUCACUGGCAGUAGUUCUGCCACUGUCUCUAUGUUUUGCAGGAAACAUAUUCUUUAUUUUGCUAUAAUGUAUCACAUUAUAUUAUUCACAAGCUUAUUUACUAAAAUCUAAAUUUAAAGUGAAUGUAAAUUUGAGGCCAAAGUAGACGAAAUGGAAGGUCUGGAGAUGUUUUCCAGUUGGUGUAUUCUCACAGUGGUGAAUAAUCCUUACAGUCUGAAUUUUCUGAAUACAAAGUUGUUCGAGCAGCUGAUAUGUAAACACAGCUGGUAUAUUUUUUCAGAGAUGUUGCUGAAUUGUUCCCUUUUAGCUAUUCUGACAUACAAAUUUGCAAUAUUUUGAUGCUUGAUAAUCUUUUGGUUUUAUUUUUCAAAGUAUUCCCACGACAUAAGUGAGAAAUGUCUGUGUUUUGCCAGGAAGAUAAUAUAAAUACAUGCAGGCCUCUACGUUGUUUAGCUGGAUUAAAAGGCACCUUUAUGAGCAUAUAUAAACAUUGUGCAGCAGGGGUGUACUAUCCACCACAACUACCACAACUCUAUAAACCUGAUUGUAUAACAGAGCUCCACAGCAAUAAUACUCCCAGUAAUGUGUCUGAGUGUAUAACAGAGCUCCACAGCAAUAAUACUCCCAGUAAUGUGUCUGAGUGUAUAACAGAGCUCCACAGCAAUAUUACUCCCAGUAAUGUGUCUGAGUGUAUAACAGAGCUCCACAGCAAUAUUACUCCCAGUAAUGUGUCUGAGUGUAUAACAGAGUUCCACAGCAAUAUUACUCCCAGUAAUGUGUCUGAGUGUAUAACAGAGCUACACAGUAAUAAUACUCCCAGUAAUGUGUCUGAGUGUAUAACAGAGUUCCACAGCAAUAUUACUCCCAGUAAUGUGUCUGAGUGUAUAACAGAGCUCCACAGCAAUAUUACUCCCAGUAAUGUGUUUGAGUGUGAAGUUUUGCAAUCACAGAGACUACCUGUCAUUAAUCCACCUGUAAUCUAUUUUCUUUGCAGUCUGGCUCUUAUGAUCUUCCUCGAUGAUUUGCUGCGUAACAAAAUUUUACAAAAUUACCUGCAGUAGCUGGAACGAAGCAAACUGUCUGAAUGUUAACACUGCAUCCCCGGGACGUGUGC